This 590-nucleotide ribosomal RNA is filed under the name Enterobacter cloacae. RNAcentral's name for it is "partial 23S ribosomal RNA". It matches the Rfam family "Bacterial large subunit ribosomal RNA", at positions 1085 to 1675 of the family's 2925-position model. The record is from RNAcentral. Lineage: Bacteria; Pseudomonadati; Pseudomonadota; Gammaproteobacteria; Enterobacterales; Enterobacteriaceae.
ACAGACAGCCAGGAUGUUGGCUUAGAAGCAGCCAUCAUUUAAAGAAAGCGUAAUAGCUCACUGGUCGAGUCGGCCUGCGCGGAAGAUGUAACGGGGCUAAACCAUGCACCGAAGCUGCGGCAGCGACACUAUGUGUUGUUGGGUAGGGGAGCGUUCUGUAAGCCGUUGAAGGUGUGCUGUGAGGCAUGCUGGAGGUAUCAGAAGUGCGAAUGCUGACAUAAGUAACGAUAAAGCGGGUGAAAAGCCCGCUCGCCGGAAGACCAAGGGUUCCUGUCCAACGUUAAUCGGGGCAGGGUGAGUCGACCCCUAAGGCGAGGCCGAAAGGCGUAGUCGAUGGGAAACAGGUUAAUAUUCCUGUACUUGGUGUUACUGCGAAGGGGGGACGGAGAAGGCUAUGUUAGCCGGGCGACGGUUGUCCCGGUUUAAGCAUGUAGGCGGAGGUUCCAGGUAAAUCCGGUACCUUUUAACGCUGAGGUGUGAUGACGAGGCACUACGGUGCUGAAGUAACAAAUGCCCUGCUUCCAGGAAAAGCCUCUAAGCAUCAGGUAACAUCAAAUCGUACCCCAAACCGACACAGGUGGUCAGGUAGA